This 497-nucleotide ribosomal RNA is filed under the name uncultured bacterium. RNAcentral's name for it is "partial 16S ribosomal RNA". It matches the Rfam family "Bacterial small subunit ribosomal RNA", at positions 28 to 507 of the family's 1533-position model. The record is from RNAcentral.
GACGAACGCUGGCGGCGUGCCUAAUACAUGCAAGUUGAGCGCUGAAGGUUGGUACUUGUCCCAACUGGAUGAGCAGCGAACGGGUGAGUAACGCGUGGGGAAUCUGCCUUUUAGCGGGGGACAACAUUUUGAAACGAAUGCUAAUACCGCAUAAAAACUUUAAACACAAGUUUUAAGUUUUAAAGAUGCCAUUGCAUCACUCAAAGAUGAUCCCGCGUUGUAUUAGCUAGUUGGUGAGGUAAAGGCUCACCCAGGCGAUGAUACAUAGCCGACCUGAGAGGGAGAUUGGCCAAAAUGGGACUGAGAAAAGGCCCAAAACUCUAAGGGGAGCAGCAGGAGGGAAAUUUUGGAAAAGGAGGAAAGGCUGAACGAGCAACGCCGGGGGAGGGAAGAAGGGUUUCGGAUCGGAAAACUCUGUUGGUAGAGAAGAAAGUGGGUGAGAGUGGAAAGCUCAUCAAGUGACGGUAACUACACAGAAAGGGACGGCUAACUACGUG